This 253-nucleotide ribosomal RNA is filed under the name uncultured bacterium. RNAcentral describes it as "partial 16S ribosomal RNA". It matches the Rfam family "Bacterial small subunit ribosomal RNA", at positions 524 to 776 of the family's 1533-position model. The record is from RNAcentral.
UACGUAGGUGGCGAGCGUUGUCCGGGUUUACUGGGCGUAAAGGGAGCGUAGGCGGACUUUUAAGUGAGAUGUGAAAUACUCGGGCUCAACUUGAGUGCUGCAUUUCAAACUGGAAGUCUAGAGUGCGGGAGAGGAGAAUGGAAUUCCUAGUGUAGCGGUGAAAUGCGUAGAGAUUAGGAAGAACACCAGUGGCGAAGGCGAUUCUCUGGACUGUAACUGACGCUGAGGCUCGAAAGCGUGGGGAGCAAACAGG